Molecule: long non-coding RNA, 521 nt
Filed under: Lathyrus oleraceus (garden pea)
Lineage: Eukaryota; Viridiplantae; Streptophyta; Magnoliopsida; Fabales; Fabaceae
Description: Pisum sativum (pea) long non-coding RNA (PSAT_LNC016502)
Source: RNAcentral
AUAAUAACAACAACAACAACAAUAGGAUCAACAAGAAGAAGAAUAACAAUAAGAAGAACAACAACAAGAACAAUAGGAACAACAAGAAGAAGAAUAACAACAACUAGAACAAUAUGAACAACAACAAGAAGAAUAACAACAAAAACAAAAACAACAACGACAACAACAACAAAAAACAACAACAACAAUAACAACAAUAUUAACAACAAUAACAACAACAUCAACAAUAACAACAACAACAUGAACAACAAUAACAACAAUAACAACAACAACAACAUCAACAACAACAACAACAACGAAAACAACAAGAACAAAAUAAAAAGAACAAAAAAAAAGAAUAAAAACAAUAACAACGACGACAACAACAACAAAAAAUAACAACAAUAAUAACAACAACAAAAUAAAUAAACAUAAUCAUUAACAAGAAAAUAUUAGCUGACACAACAACAACAACUAAUGUUGCUAAGUUGAAUCCAUGAUUUUCAUGCCUUGUUCCAUUUGGAGAAGAGAUGAUGAAGUUC